AACGAACGCUGGCGGCAGGCUUAACACAUGCAAGUCGAACGGGUGUAGCAAUACAUCAGUGGCAGACGGGUGAGUAACACGUGGGAACCUUCCUAGGGGUACGGAACAACUCAGGGAAACUUGAGCUAAUACCGUAUACGUCCGUGAGGAGAAAGAUUUAUCGCCCUUAGACGGGCCCGCGUCGGAUUAGCUAGUUGGGGGGGUAACGGCCUACCAAGGCGACGAUCCGUAGCUGAUCUUAGAGCAUGAUCAGCCACACUGGGACUGAGACACGGCCCAGACUCCUACGGGAGGCAGCAGUGGGGAAUCUUGGACAAUGGGCGCAAGCCUGGUCCAGCCAUGCCGCGUGAGUGAAGAAGGUCUUCGGAUUGUAAAGCUCUUUUGCCAGGGACGAUAAUGACGGUACCUGGAGAAUAAGCCCCGGCAAACUUCGUGCCAGCAGCCGCCGUAA
RNAcentral lists this ribosomal RNA (451 nucleotides) under uncultured bacterium. RNAcentral describes it as "partial 16S ribosomal RNA". It matches the Rfam family "Bacterial small subunit ribosomal RNA", at positions 29 to 523 of the family's 1533-position model. The record is from RNAcentral.